Small nuclear RNA from Dromiciops gliroides (monito del monte), 106 nucleotides. The record is from RefSeq and is a predicted model, not a curated record. Lineage: Eukaryota; Metazoa; Chordata; Mammalia; Microbiotheria; Microbiotheriidae.
GUGCUCACUUUGGCAUUACAUACACUAAAUUGGAAUAAUACAGAGAAGAUUAGCAUGAUCCCCAUGCAAGGAUGACAUUCAAAUUCAUGAACCAUUUCACAUUUCA